This 848-nucleotide ribosomal RNA is filed under the name uncultured marine eukaryote. RNAcentral's name for it is "SSU rRNA". It matches the Rfam family "Eukaryotic small subunit ribosomal RNA", at positions 71 to 870 of the family's 1831-position model. The record is from RNAcentral.
GAAUACACAAGAGAAUCUGCAGAUGGCUCAUUAGAUCAGUUAUGGUUUAUUGGAGAACAGUCAGUUGCCAUGGAUAACUGUGGUAAUUCUAGAGCUAAUACAUGCGAUUAAGCGCGGACCCUUCGUUGGGGAAGCGUGCUUUUAUUAGGAACAAGGCCAGUACGGUCCCUUCGGGGGCCGGUCUCCGCUGGUGAACUCUAGAUAACCACGCCGAUCGCACGGUCUCGCACCGGCGACGCUCCCUUCAAAAGUCUGCUCUAUCAACUUUCGAUGGUAAGUUAAAUGCUUAUCAUGGUUGUGACGGGUAACGGAGAAUCAGGGUUCGAUUCCGGAGAGGGAGCCUGAGAAACGGCUACCACAUCCAAGGAAGGCAGCAGGCACGCAAAUUACCCACUCCCGACACGGGGAGGUAGUGACAAAAAAUAACGAUAUAGGCCUCUUCGGAGGCUCUGUGAUCGGAAUGAGUACACUUUAAAUCCUUUAACGAGGAUCUACUGGAGGGCAAGUCUGGUGCCAGCAGCCGCGGUAAUUCCAGCUCCAGCAGCGUAUAUUAAAUUUGCUGCAGUUAAAAAGCUCGUAGUCGGAUUUCUGGCUGGGGCGGACGGUCCGCCGCGAGGCGAGCACUGCCCGUGUGUCGGCCCUCACGGGCCCGGCACUCUCUCUGGUCAGUUAUUCGGUCGGUCGUGCGGUGCUCUUAACUGAGUGCCGUGCGAGGCUGAAACGUCUACUUUGAGAAAAUUAGAGUGUUCAAAGCAGGCCAAAGUGCCCGAACAGCUCAGCAUAGAAUAGUGGAAAAGGGCCUCGGCUCGUUCUAUUUCGCUGGUCUCUGGAACCUGAGGGUAAUGAUC